RNAcentral lists this long non-coding RNA (192 nucleotides) under Ictidomys tridecemlineatus (thirteen-lined ground squirrel). Its description in RNAcentral is "lncRNA (ENSSTOG00000030327.1)". The record is from RNAcentral. Lineage: Eukaryota; Metazoa; Chordata; Mammalia; Rodentia; Sciuridae.
CUGUCACCCUGUAUAGGUGGAGGUGGCCAAUGAUGUGCACUGAAGGAGCUCUAGUUGGCGCGCGCGCGCGGCUCGGCGUCGGUGGGAUUGGUCGAAGAAUUGAGGCAAACCCAGGAAUUACAUUGAGACAUGCCCUUGAAUGUUUGGAGAUCCAGUGCAGCAGUGGAUAUUUAGCUCAUGGGGGGACACAUG